This 78-nucleotide transfer RNA is filed under the name Rhinichthys osculus (speckled dace). RNAcentral's name for it is "tRNA-Leu". It matches the Rfam family "tRNA". From Rfam's summary of the family: Transfer RNA (tRNA) molecules are approximately 80 nucleotides in length. Their secondary structure includes four short double-helical elements and three loops (D, anti-codon, and T loops). Further hydrogen bonds mediate the characteristic L-shaped molecular structure. tRNAs have two regions of fundamental functional importance: the anti-codon, which is responsible for specific mRNA codon recognition, and the 3' end, to which the tRNAs corresponding amino acid is attached (by aminoacyl-tRNA synthetases). tRNAs cope with the degeneracy of the genetic code in two manners: having more than one tRNA (with a specific anti-codon) for a particular amino acid; and 'wobble' base-pairing, i.e. permitting non-standard base-pairing at the 3rd anti-codon position. Lineage: Eukaryota; Metazoa; Chordata; Actinopteri; Cypriniformes; Leuciscidae. RNAcentral also lists the same sequence under 1 other name. The record is from RNAcentral.
UACUGGGGUGGCAGAGCAUGGUAAAUUGCGAAAGGCCUAAGCCCUUUAAAUCAGAGGUUCAAGUCCUCUUCCCAGUUC